RNAcentral lists this ribosomal RNA (207 nucleotides) under uncultured bacterium. RNAcentral describes it as "partial 16S ribosomal RNA". It matches the Rfam family "Bacterial small subunit ribosomal RNA", at positions 568 to 774 of the family's 1533-position model. The record is from RNAcentral.
UGCGUAGGCGGUAUUGUGUGUCGGAUGUGAAAGCUCACGGCUUACCCGUGGAAUUGCAUCCGAAACUGCAGUACCAGAGUAUGGGAGAGGUGAGCGGAAUUCUUGGUGUAGCGGUGAAAUGCGUAGAUAUCAAGAGGAACACCGGCGGCGAAAGCGGCUCACUGGACCAAUACUGACGCUGAGGCACGAAAGCUAGGGUAGCCAAGA